Molecule: ribosomal RNA, 484 nt
Filed under: uncultured bacterium
Lineage: Bacteria
Description: partial 16S ribosomal RNA
Rfam family: Bacterial small subunit ribosomal RNA
Source: RNAcentral
AUUGAACGCUGGCGGCAGGCCUAACACAUGCAAGUCGAGCGGAUGAAGGGAGCUUGCUCCUGGAUUCAGCGGCGGACGGGUGAGUAAUGCCUAGGAAUCUGCCUGGUAGUGGGGGAUAACGUCCGGAAACGGGCGCUAAUACCGCAUACGUCCUGAGGGAGAAAGUGGGGGAUCUUCGGACCUCACGCUAUCAGAUGAGCCUAGGUCGGAUUAGCUAGUUGGUGGGGUAAAGGCCUACCAAGGCGACGAUCCGUAACUGGUCUGAGAGGAUGAUCAGUCACCCUGGAGCUGGAACACGGACCAGACUCCUACGGGAGGCAGCAGUGGGGAAUGUUGGGCAAAGGGCGAAAGCAUGGUCCAGCCAGGCCGCGCGUGUGAAGAAGGUCUUCGGAUUGUAAAGCACUUUAAGUUGGGAGGAAGGGCAGUAAGUUAAUACCUUGCUGUUUUGACGUUACCAACAGAAUAAGCACCGGCUAACUACGUG